Molecule: ribosomal RNA, 777 nt
Filed under: uncultured bacterium
Lineage: Bacteria
Description: bacterial SSU rRNA
Rfam family: Bacterial small subunit ribosomal RNA
Source: RNAcentral
AGAGUUUGAUCCUGGCUCAGGACGAACGCUGGCGGCGUGCUUAACACAUGCAAGUCGAACGGUGACGCUGGAGCUUGCUCCAGCUGAUCAGUGGCGAACGGGUGAGUAACACGUGAGCAACCUGCCCUUGACUCUGGGAUAACCCCGGGAAACCGGAGCUAAUACCGGAUACGAACCGCAUAGGCAUCUGAGCGGUUGGAAAGAUUUAUCGGUCAAGGAUGGGCUCGCGGCCUAUCAGCUUGUUGGUGGGGUAACGGCCCACCAAGGCGACGACGGGUAGCCGGCCUGAGAGGGCGACCGGCCACACUGGGACUGAGACACGGCCCAGACUCCUACGGGAGGCAGCAGUGGGGAAUAUUGCACAAUGGGCGCAAGCCUGAUGCAGCGACGCCGCGUGAGGGAUGAAGGCCUUCGGGUUGUAAACCUCUUUCAGCAGGGAAGAAGCGAAAGUGACGGUACCUGCAGAAGAAGCACCGGCUAACUACGUGCCAGCAGCCGCGGUAAUACGUAGGGUGCAAGCGUUGUCCGGAAUUAUUGGGCGUAAAGAGCUCGUAGGCGGUUUGUCGCGUCUGCUGUGAAAACCUAGGGCUUAACCCUGGGCCUGCAGUGGGUACGGGCAGACUAGAGUGCGGUAGGGGAGACUGGAAUUCCUGGUGUAGCGGUGAAAUGCGCAGAUAUCAGGAGGAACACCGGUGGCGAAGGCGGGUCUCUGGGCCGUAACUGACGCUGAGGAGCGAAAGCAUGGGUAGCGAACAGGAUUAGAUACCCUAGUAGUCC